GACAUAGGUGGCAAACGUUAUCCGGAAUUAUUGGGCGUAAAGGAUGCGUAGAUGGUCUGGUAAGUUAUCAGUGGUAAAUCGGGGCUUAACCCCGUGGAAGUUGGUAAUACUGCUAGGCUUGAGUGCCGGAGAGGUUAACGGAACUCCCUGUGGAGCGGUGAAAUGCGUAGAUAUAGGGAAGAACAUCAAAUGGCGAAGGCAGUUAACUAUUCGGCUACUGACAUUGAGGCAUGAAAGCGUGGGGAGCAAAACGG
Molecule: ribosomal RNA, 254 nt
Filed under: uncultured bacterium
Lineage: Bacteria
Description: partial 16S ribosomal RNA
Rfam family: Bacterial small subunit ribosomal RNA
Source: RNAcentral